This 420-nucleotide ribosomal RNA is filed under the name uncultured bacterium. RNAcentral describes it as "bacterial SSU rRNA". It matches the Rfam family "Bacterial small subunit ribosomal RNA", at positions 355 to 774 of the family's 1533-position model. RNAcentral also lists the same sequence under 1 other name. The record is from RNAcentral.
UGGGGAAUAUUGCACAAUGGGCGAAAGCCUGAUGCAGCGACGCCGCGUGAGGGAUGGAGGCCUUCGGGUUGUAAACCUCUUUCGCUCAUGGUCAAGCCGCAACUGUGGGUUGUGGUGAGGGUAGUGGGUAAAGAAGCGCCGGCUAACUACGUGCCAGCAGCCGCGGUAAUACGUAGGGCGCGAGCGUUGUCCGGAAUUAUUGGGCGUAAAGGGCUUGUAGGCGGUUGGUCGCGUCUGCCGUGAAAUCCUCUGGCUUAACUGGGGGCGUGCGGUGGGUACGGGCUGACUUGAGUGCGGUAGGGGAGACUGGAACUCCUGGUGUAGCGGUGGAAUGCGCAGAUAUCAGGAAGAACACCGGUGGCGAAGGCGGGUCUCUGGGCCGUUACUGACGCUGAGGAGCGAAAGCGUGGGGAGCGAACA